RNAcentral lists this long non-coding RNA (407 nucleotides) under Phasianus colchicus (ring-necked pheasant). RNAcentral's name for it is "lncRNA (ENSPCLG00000015196.1)". Lineage: Eukaryota; Metazoa; Chordata; Aves; Galliformes; Phasianidae. The record is from RNAcentral.
AGACAAUUUAUAUGAGAUGCAGUGUGGAGAACAGAAAACUAACCAAAAAUGAAUGAUACAGUAUCGGCUUACGCUGUUCUCUCAUUCUAUUUUGCAUGACUCAACAACUGUAAAAGUCAGAUACAUGAUCUCAAGCCAAGUUCUCAGCUUCUGUUUAUUCAAUGACCCACUGACAAAUAGGCAAGAAAGCAAAACUGAAGGAAAAGCUCCACAUCUGUCAUGCUGGAGAAAAGCAGGAAAAUUCCCUCUUCAGAUACGAAGAGGGCAACAUACAGAAAGACUGUUCAGUUCACCUCCAAGAAUAUAAGAUUUUGAAAUUAAAAUAACUUUGUGUAAUAGGGAAUAUAAAUGGGAAAAGGCAAAAUUGCUGUCAGAACAAUACAGGAACGUAGAUUCUGGAAGUUCUG